This 388-nucleotide long non-coding RNA is filed under the name Vigna radiata. RNAcentral describes it as "long non-coding RNA (VRAD_LNC018342)". The record is from RNAcentral. Lineage: Eukaryota; Viridiplantae; Streptophyta; Magnoliopsida; Fabales; Fabaceae.
GAGAGUUAUAAUUAAAGAAUGAAUUACCUGGUCGCUGGAACCGAAGUCCAUCUCCAGUACCUAGGAGUGUUUCCCCAAACAAUGGAGAGACUUCUAGCAGAGAGCAUGUAGCAUUUUCUGGCGCUGGGUUUAUCGAGUGCAAAGCUCUGGUGAAUAAUUAUUAUCGUUAAUUCACAAUUAUUGAGAGAAAGCGAUUUGUUAUUUGAAUAACUACCUUUUGACCACCGUCGAUGAGGAGGGGAUUAUGACAUAGGUGGAGGUAGAGUUCCUUCUUGGAAGAGUAAGAAAGAGGUUUCGAGGAUUGGGAAACCAUGGCGUGCAAAUCGGAGGGGAGGAAUCUCUCCCAUACGACGUCGGAUUGUGCGGCGGAUCUGAAGGAAGAUGACAC